Molecule: transfer RNA, 73 nt
Filed under: Ursus americanus (American black bear)
Lineage: Eukaryota; Metazoa; Chordata; Mammalia; Carnivora; Ursidae
Also listed under: 2 other names
Rfam family: tRNA
About the family: Transfer RNA (tRNA) molecules are approximately 80 nucleotides in length.
Source: Rfam by way of RNAcentral
ACCUGGCUGGUUCAGUCGGUAGAGCAAGUGACUCUUGAUCUCAGGGUUGUGAGUUCCAGCCCCAUGCUGGGUG